UGGGGAAUCUUGCACAAUGGAGGCAACUCUGAUGCAGCGACGCCGCGUGAGCGAUGAAGCCCUUCGGGGUGUAAAGCUCUUUCGGCAGGGACGAUAAUGACGGUACCUGCAGAAGAAGCUGCGGCUAACUACGUGCCAGCAGCCGCGGUAAUACGUAGGCAGCAAGCGUUGUUCGGAAUUACUGGGCGUAAAGAGUGUGUAGGCGGCGCGCUAAGUUCGGUGUGAAAUCUCCCGGCUCAACUGGGAGGGUGCGCCGGAAACUGGCGGGCUGGAGCGUGGGAGAGGAAAGCGGAAUUCCUGGUGUAGCGGUGAAAUGCGUAGAGAUCAGGAGGAACACCAGCGGUGUAGACGGCUUUCUGGACCACAGCUGACGCUGAGACACGAAAGCGUGGGUAGCAAACAG
RNAcentral lists this ribosomal RNA (403 nucleotides) under uncultured bacterium. RNAcentral's name for it is "bacterial SSU rRNA". It matches the Rfam family "Bacterial small subunit ribosomal RNA", at positions 355 to 775 of the family's 1533-position model. The record is from RNAcentral.